Small nucleolar RNA from Pongo abelii (Sumatran orangutan), 88 nucleotides. NCBI's taxonomy places the organism in Eukaryota, Metazoa, Chordata, Mammalia, Primates, Hominidae. The record is from Ensembl.
AUUCUUUUGUGUUCAUAAGCGUGAUGAUUGGGUGUUCACAUGAGACGUGUCACCCUCAAACCUUGUUGUGCUAUUUUUCUGCCUGCCU